Molecule: ribosomal RNA, 159 nt
Filed under: Paramycetinis caulocystidiatus
Lineage: Eukaryota; Fungi; Basidiomycota; Agaricomycetes; Agaricales; Omphalotaceae
Also listed under: 1 other name
Description: 5.8S ribosomal RNA
Rfam family: 5.8S ribosomal RNA
About the family: 5.8S ribosomal RNA (5.8S rRNA) is a component of the large subunit of the eukaryotic ribosome.
Source: RNAcentral
ACAACUUUUAGCAACGGAUCUCUUGGCUCUCCCAUCGAUGAAGAACGCAGCGAAAUGCGAUAAGUAAUGUGAAUUGCAGAAUUCAGUGAAUCAUCGAAUCUUUGAACGCACCUUGCGCCCUUUGGUAUUCCGAAGGGCAUGCCUGUUUGAGUGUCAUUA